GGUUUUCCGUAGGUGAACCUGCGGAAGGAUCAUU
RNAcentral lists this ribosomal RNA (34 nucleotides) under uncultured fungus. RNAcentral describes it as "partial 18S ribosomal RNA". Lineage: Eukaryota; Fungi. The record is from RNAcentral.